GUGUCUGUGGGGGUGUCCGGGGGUGUCCAUGGGGUGUCCGUGGGGUGUCCAUGGGGUGUCCGGGGGUGUCUGUGGUGUGUCCGUGGGGUGUCUGGAGGUGUCCGUGGGGUGUCCGUGGUGUGUCUGUGGGGGUGUCCGGGGGUGUCUGUGGGGGUGUCCAUGGGGUGUCCGGGGGUGUCCUGGGUGCUGACCAGGCUGUCCCAGCUGGAGGAGACGCUGCAGCUGCGGACGGAGAGUCGCCAGGGCAGCCUGCGAGGGGACAGCCUGCGAGCGGACAGCCUGCGAGGGGACAGCCUGCGUGGCACCAGCAUCUGCUCCGCCAUGGUGAGCCACGGGGACACGGGGGGCACGGGGUCACCACGUUCCUGGGGGUGUCUGUGUCCCCAGUGACUCUCCUGUCACCCAUGUCCCCAGCAGUCCCUAUGUCCUUAAGGUGGCCAUGUCCCCAUGGUCCCCAUGUCCCCACAGUGCCCAUAUCCCCAUUGGUCCCCAUUUCCCCAUGGUGCCAAUGUCCCCAGUGGUCCCUGUGUCCCCACAGUGCCCAUGUCCCAAUGGUGAUGUCCUCACUUGUCCAUGUCCCCAUGGUACUGAUGUCCCCAAUUGUCCAUGUCCCCAUGGUCUCCAUGUCCCCUUGGUCCCCAUGUCCCCACGGUGAUGUCCCCACUUGUCCACAUCCCCAUGGUCCCCAUCUCCCCAUGGUGCUGAGGUCCCCACUUGUCCAUGUCCCCAAGUCCCCAUGGUGAUGUCCCCACUUGUCCAUGUCCCCAUGGUGAUGUCNNNNNNNNNNGUCCAUGUCCCCAAGGUCCCCAUGGUACUGAUGUCCCCACUUGUCCACGUCCCCACGGUGCCCAUGUCCCCAUCAAUCCCCACCCCACGCCCGGUGGCGCCCCUGACGUGUCCCUUGUCCUUGUCCCCAGAGCGAGGAGCCCGAGGGCCGCAGUUACUCCACGCUCUCCACGGUGCGGGAGAUCGAGACGCAGACCGACGUCCCCGUCGUCCCCGUUGUCACCGCGGCGCCGCCGCCGCCGGCGCCUGGCGGGAAGGACCCCAAGGAGGAGGAGGAGGAAGGGGGCGGCGGGGGGGACCCCAUCAAGGCGGCCAUGACGCACUUCGUGCAGGAGAACGGGAUGCUGCAGGCCAAGCCCAGCUCCAACGGCAUCUACAUCAACGGCCGUGGCCACCUGGUGUGAGACGGCCACCGAGGGGACACUUGGGGACACCUGGGGACAGCCGGGCCCCGCCUGUGCCCGCCUGGCUCUGUCCCCGCCGCUCCGGUCCCCGGGUGUCACCUCCCUGCUGGUGUGGGGUCAAGAUGGACUCUGGUCCUCGGGUGUCACCUCCCUGCUGGUGUGGGGUUGGGGACAAGGACAGUGCCCCAGGACUGUGUCACCUCCCUGCUGGUGUGGGGUCAAGGAUGGACUUCAGUCCCCAGGUGUCACCUCCCUGCUGGUGUGGGGUC
RNAcentral lists this long non-coding RNA (1459 nucleotides) under Chloebia gouldiae (Gouldian finch). RNAcentral describes it as "Erythrura gouldiae (Gouldian finch) lncRNA (ENSEGOG00005018018.1)". Lineage: Eukaryota; Metazoa; Chordata; Aves; Passeriformes; Passeridae. The record is from RNAcentral.